This 543-nucleotide ribosomal RNA is filed under the name uncultured soil bacterium. RNAcentral's name for it is "bacterial SSU rRNA". It matches the Rfam family "Bacterial small subunit ribosomal RNA", at positions 35 to 608 of the family's 1533-position model. The record is from RNAcentral.
GCUGGCGGCGUGCCUAACACAUGCAAGUCGAACGAGAAAAGGGGAGCAAUCCUCUGAGUAAAGUGGCGACCGGGUGAGUAACACGUGACUAACCUACCCUCGAGUGUGGAAUAACAUCGGGAAACCGAUGCUAAUACCGCAUAACAUCGCAAGAUCAAAGGAGCAAUCCGCUUGAGGAGGGGGUCGCGGCUGAUUAGCUAGUUGGCGGGGUAACGGCCCACCAAGGCGAAGAUCGGUAGCCGGCCUGAGAGGGCGCACGGCCACACUGGAACUGAAACACGGUCCAGACUCCUACGGGAGGCAGCAGUGGGGAAUUUUGCGCAAUGGGGGAAACCCUGACGCAGCAACGCCGCGUGGAGGAUGAAGCCCCUUGGGGCGUAAACUCCUUUCGACCAAGACGAUAAUGACGGUACUGGUGGAAGAAGCACCGGCUAACUCUGUGCCAGCAGCCGCGGUAAUACAGAGGGUGCAAGCGUUGUUCGGAAUUAUUGGGCGUAAAGGGCGCGUAGGCGGCGCGACAAGUCACCUGUGAAAUCCCCGGGC